Molecule: non-coding RNA, 27 nt
Filed under: Homo sapiens (human)
Lineage: Eukaryota; Metazoa; Chordata; Mammalia; Primates; Hominidae
Source: RNAcentral
UGCCAAUGACUCACCAGUAGACAGUGU